GACCUUUUUGUGUCUACAAAAAAGGUCAUAUACAUUUAAGGUAUAUCCAAAAUCCACUCCACAGGAUAAAAAUGGUUGAAAAGUACAUUGGUGGUAGAUAAAAAGCAAAUAAUGUUUAUUUCAGAACUCAAUGGCAAACUCACACAAAUAACCAAGGGCAGUCAUGUCCUCUUACAAGACUCAGGGAGCAACAAGAAUAAACUUUCUGGCUUAUUUGAGUUUGA
RNAcentral lists this unclassified non-coding RNA (224 nucleotides) under Hevea brasiliensis (rubber tree). Lineage: Eukaryota; Viridiplantae; Streptophyta; Magnoliopsida; Malpighiales; Euphorbiaceae. The record is from RNAcentral.